This is a long non-coding RNA of Ornithodoros turicata, 1292 nucleotides long. RefSeq lists it as uncharacterized. NCBI's taxonomy places the organism in Eukaryota, Metazoa, Arthropoda, Arachnida, Ixodida, Argasidae. The transcript is spliced from 2 exons. The record is from RefSeq and is a predicted model, not a curated record.
GGUUAUUUGUUUCGGAUUAGGACGAAUUGCAGGGACAUAUGGAUCUGUGCUUUCGGUACGGCCUCGAUUGUUUGACAUGUCUCCUCCACUUGGAGUGAAAAGUCAGGUGCGGAUUAUCAACUUCAUUGCAGCUCGCUGACAUUACGUGACUCAGUUGGCCCGAAGUGAAACGAUGUGGAAGGCAGACUGCAUGCAAAAGGCAACUGGUAGGUUAGUGCAUGCACAUACCUUGGGGAGCAAGAUAGCAAGCAGGAGGACCUGCAGGACGACUUCGUGGCGACAUACCAUUCACCCAACAAAGAAAUCGUCGAGUGUAAGCAAUAAUUGAACAACGACGAGUGCGUACAGGGACGCGUUCCUAGCAACGCUUGAGCACCGUAGCAUCAUAGCACCGCUCAUUGCAGAAGCACGGGCGGCGCUACGAUGCUGCGGUGCUCACGCGCUGCCAGACGCGAUCGAGACAGCGCACCACAGGACAGGACACCGGGCGCGUCUCGUAUGCACUCUUCUAAUGUUCAAUUAUGUGUCACCAGCUCUCCCAAAUUUCCGUUGCCAGUGAAAGCAAGUUGCCCGCCGGCAGUGCACGAAGACACAUAGUUUCAUUGAAGACGAACGGGACCAGAAGAAAACCACCUUAGUGCGACAGGGCGUCGGUUGGCGAGUACCUACAGCUACUUACGUCAGUACCUACACCAGGAUGAACGCCGGCCGCAGACACAGGGAUUGGCGUCCGACCAGCUACGGGAGUACCUCUCGAAAGUUGCGCGUUCGAGAAAGUUGGCGACUUCGCACAAGGCCCGGCACGGAACUCCAGGAACCUCCGGCUGUCUCCUAUUUCGAAACUAGGACAAUGCUCAACUGCUGCGCACUAGAAGAAAGGAUGUACGCAACAAGAAGUUUCCGUUGUUGAUGGGGCACGAAGGCUUCGACGCGACGACCGCCAAUAUGACGAGAAUAAUGGCACAGGUAAAUAGUGUGUUGUUGACCCUCCGUCUCCAAUAGCUGAGCAACACUACACAGGCCCACUAUAGGAACUAGGAACAGAAAUAUUUCUUGGUGCAUUCCUUAUAGCAUUGAGAUCACUUGAGGUUCCUGACAGAACAACUCCUGCCAGAACAGUUUUCAAACCGAACAGAAGCCAUAAACUAGUUUGUUCUCGUUCGCAGCACCACAUAUUACUGCGGCGCGAAAUUCUGCCGUACGUUUUCGCUGUUUCUGAUGUCGUGAACUAUGUAACUUUUACAACACUUGAGUUACAUUUGCUACAUUCCAGUUUGCGUAUGCAAACUUCA